CCUACGGGUGGCAGCAGUCGAGAAUCAUUCACAAUGGGGGAAACCCUGAUGGUGCGACGCCGCGUGGGGGAAUGAAGGUCUUCGGAUUGUAAACCCCUGUCAUGUGGGAGCAAAUUAAAAAGAUAGUACCACAAGAGGAAGAGACGGCUAAAUCUGUGCCAGCAGCCGCGGGAAUACAGAGGUCUCAAGCGUUGUUCGGAAUCACUGGGCGUAAAGCGUGCGUAGGCUGUUGCGUAAGUCGUGUGUGAAAGGCGCGGGCUCAACCCGCGGACGGCACAUGAUACUGCGAGACUAGAGUAAUGGAGGGGGAAGCGGAAUUCUCGGUGUAGCAGUGAAAUGCGUAGAUAUCGAGAGGAACACUCGUGGCGAAGGCGGGUUCCUGGACAUUAACUGACGCUGAGGCACGAAGGCCAGGGGAGCGAAAGGGAUUAGAUACCCGGGUAGUC
Molecule: ribosomal RNA, 446 nt
Filed under: uncultured bacterium
Lineage: Bacteria
Description: partial 16S ribosomal RNA
Rfam family: Bacterial small subunit ribosomal RNA
Source: RNAcentral